AACUUCCGUUAUUGAUUAUGACGUACUUGUACUGAUUGAGAUUUUAACACGAAGUGAGUGGCGAACGGGUGAGUAACACGUGGGUAACCUGCCCAGAAGUAGGGGAUAACACCUGGAAACAGAUGCUAAUACCGUAUAACAGAGAAAACCGCAUGGUUUUCUUUUAAAAGAUGGCUCUGCUAUCACUUCUGGAUGGACCCGCGGCGUAUUAGCUAGUUGGUGAGGUAAAGGCUCACCAAGGCAGUGAUACGUAGCCGACCUGAGAGGGUAAUCGGCCACAUUGGGACUGAGACACGGCCCAGACUCCUACGGGAGGCAGCAGUAGGGAAUCUUCCACAAUGGACGCAAGUCUGAUGGAGCAACGCCGCGUGAGUGAAGAAGGGUUUCGGCUCGUAAAGCUCUGUUGUUAAAGAAGAACGUGGGUAAGAGUAACUGUUUACCCAGUGACGGUAUUUAACCAGAAAGCCACGGCUAACUACGUGCCAGCAGCCGCGGUAAUACGUAGGUGGCAAGCGUUAUCCGGAUUUAUUGGGCGUAAAGCGAGCGCAGGCGGUCUUUUAAGUCUAAUGUGAAAGCCUUCGGCUCAACCGAAGAAGUGCAUUGGAAACUGGGAGACUUGAGUGCAGAAGAGGACAGUGGAACUCCAUGUGUAGCGGUGAAAUGCGUAGAUAUAUGGAAGAACACCAGUGGCGAAGGCGGCUGUCUGGUCUGCAACUGACGCUGAGGCUCGAAAGCAUGGGUAGCGAACAGGAUUAGAUACCCUGGUAGUCCAUGCCGUAAACGAUGAUUACUAAGUGUUGGAGGGUUUCCGCCCUUCAGUGCUGCAGCUAACGCAUUAAGUAAUCCGCCUGGGGAGUACGACCGCAAGGUUGAAACUCAAAAGAAUUGACGGGGGCCCGCACAAGCGGUGGAGCAUGUGGUUUAAUUCGAAGCUACGCGAAGAACCUUACCAGGUCUUGACAUCUUCUGACAGUCUAAGAGAUUAGAGGUUCCCUUCGGGGACAGAAUGACAGGUGGUGCAUGGUUGUCGUCAGCUCGUGUCGUGAGAUGUUGGGUUAAGUCCCGCAACGAGCGCAACCCUUAUUACUAGUUGCCAGCAUUAAGUUGGGCACUCUAGUGAGACUGCCGGUGACAAACCGGAGGAAGGUGGGGACGACGUCAAAUCAUCAUGCCCCUUAUGACCUGGGCUACACACGUGCUACAAUGGAUGGUACAACGAGUCGCGAGACCGCGAGGUUAAGCUAAUCUCUUAAAACCAUUCUCAGUUCGGACUGUAGGCUGCAACUCGCCUACACGAAGUCGGAAUCGCUAGUAAUCGCGGAUCAGCAUGCCGCGGUGAAUACGUUCCCGGGCCUUGUACACACCGCCCGUCACACCAUGAGAGU
Molecule: ribosomal RNA, 1385 nt
Filed under: Pediococcus pentosaceus
Lineage: Bacteria; Bacillati; Bacillota; Bacilli; Lactobacillales; Lactobacillaceae
Description: bacterial SSU rRNA
Rfam family: Bacterial small subunit ribosomal RNA
Source: RNAcentral